CCUGUUUCUUAGUCAAAAAGAAUGUUGGUGUGGCUGUUGUGUCAUGUGUGCAUAAAUAGGUGGCAGAGAGGAGACAGGCUAUGACUAUGCUCAGUGUUCUGACCUGUGAAUACGUGAAUGAUUAGUAGCCUACCAUU
This is a small nucleolar RNA of Acomys russatus (golden spiny mouse), 137 nucleotides long. RefSeq annotates it as small nucleolar RNA SNORA17. The transcript has a single exon. The record is from RefSeq and is a predicted model, not a curated record. Lineage: Eukaryota; Metazoa; Chordata; Mammalia; Rodentia; Muridae.